GACGAACGCUGGCGGCGUGCUUAACACAUGCAAGUCGAACGAGAGGAGAAGGAAGCUUGCUUCUUUCAAAUCUAGUGGCAAACGGGUGAGUAACACGUAAACAACCUGCCUUCAGGAUGGGGACAACAGACGGAAACGACUGCUAAUACCGAAUACGUUCCUUAGGUCGCAUGACUUUAGGAAGAAAGGGUGGCCUCUACUUGUAAGCUAUCGCCUGAAGAGGGGUUUNCGUCUGAUUAGGUAGUUGGUGAGGUAACGGCCCACCAAGCCGACGAUCAGUAGCCGGUCUGAGAGGAUGAACGGCCACACUGGAACUGAGACACGGUCCAAACUCCUACGGGAGGCAGCAGUGGGGAAUAUUGCACAAUGGGCGAAAGCCUGAUGCAGCGACGCCGCGUGAGCGAAGAAGUAUUUCGGUAUGUAAAGCUCUAUCAGCAGGGAAGAUAAUGACGGUACCUGACUAAGAAGCACCGGCUAAAUACGUG
RNAcentral lists this ribosomal RNA (485 nucleotides) under uncultured bacterium. Its description in RNAcentral is "bacterial SSU rRNA". It matches the Rfam family "Bacterial small subunit ribosomal RNA", at positions 28 to 507 of the family's 1533-position model. The record is from RNAcentral.